RNAcentral lists this ribosomal RNA (496 nucleotides) under uncultured bacterium. RNAcentral's name for it is "bacterial SSU rRNA". It matches the Rfam family "Bacterial small subunit ribosomal RNA", at positions 8 to 522 of the family's 1533-position model. The record is from RNAcentral.
AGAGUUUGAUCAUGGCUCAGGACGAACGCUUGCGGCGUGCCUAAGAAAUGCAAGUCGAACGGGCAUUGACUUCGGUCGGUGUCAGUGGCGAACGGUCGCGUAACACGUAAGCAACCUGCCCGGAAGUGGGGGAUAACGGCCCGAAAGGGCCGCUAAUACCGCAUGUGGUCAAGUCGGGGCAUCCCGUCUUGUCUAAAGAUUCAUCGCUUCCGGAUGGGCUUGCGGCCUAUCAGGUAGUUGGUGGGGUGACGGCCUACCAAGCCGACGACGGGUAGCUGGUCUGAGAGGACGAUCAGCCGGAUUGGGACUGAGAUACGGCCCAGACUCCUACGGGGGGCAGCAAUUAGGAAUCUUGCGCAAUGGGCGAAAGCCUGACGCAGCGACGCCGCGUGCGGGACGAAGGCCUUCGGGUCGUAAACCGCUUUUUCGGGGGAAGAAGAAUGUGACGGUACCCCGAGAAUAAGCCCCGGCUAACUACGUGCCAGCAGCCGCGGUA